RNAcentral lists this ribosomal RNA (468 nucleotides) under uncultured bacterium. RNAcentral's name for it is "partial 16S ribosomal RNA". It matches the Rfam family "Bacterial small subunit ribosomal RNA", at positions 28 to 507 of the family's 1533-position model. The record is from RNAcentral.
GACGAACGCUGGCGGCGUGCUUAACACAUGCAAGUCGAACGGAAAGGCCCUGCUUUUGUGGGGUGCUCGAGUGGCGAACGGGUGCGUAACACGUGAGUAACCUGCCCUUGACUUUGGGAUAACUUCAGGAAACUGGGGCUAAUACCGGAUAGGAGCUCCUGCUGCAUUGUGGGGGUUGGAACGUUUCGGCGGUUGGGGAUGGACUCGCGGCUUAUCAGCUUGUUGGUGGGGUAGUGGCUUACCAAGGCUUUGACGGGUAGCCGGCCUGAGAGGGUGACCGGCCACAUUGGGACUGAGAUACGGCCCAGACUCGUACGGGAGGCAGCAGUGGGGAAUAUUGCACAAUGGGCGGAAGCCUGAUGCAGAAACGCCGCGUGCGGAAUGACGGCCUUCGGGUUGUAAACCGCUUUCGCCUGUGACGAAGCGUGAGUGACGGUAAUGGGUAAAGAAGCACCGGCUAACUACGUG